ACUUAUGGCCACACCACUGUGCCCAAUCCCAUCUGAUCUCGUAAGCGAAGCACGGUCAGGCCCAGUUAGUACUUGGAUGGGGGACCGCCUAGGAAUACCUGGUGUUGUAAGCU
This 113-nucleotide ribosomal RNA is filed under the name Stegastes partitus (bicolor damselfish). Lineage: Eukaryota; Metazoa; Chordata; Actinopteri; Pomacentridae. The record is from RNAcentral.